AGAGUUUGAUCAUGGCUCAGAUUGAACGCUGGCGGCAUGCCUUACACAUGCAAGUCGAACGGCAGCACGGGAGCAAUCCUGGUGGCGAGUGGCGAACGGGUGAGUAAUACAUCGGAACGUGCCCUGUCGUGGGGGAUAACUAGUCGAAAGAUUAGCUAAUACCGCAUACGACCUGAGGGUGAAAGCGGGGGACCGUAAGGCCUCGCGCGAUAGGAGCGGCCGAUGUCUGAUUAGCUAGUUGGUGAGGUAAGAGCUCACCAAGGCGACGAUCAGUAGCUGGUCUGAGAGGACGAUCAGCCACACUGGGACUGAGACACGGCCCAGACUCCUACGGGAGGCAGCAGUGGGGAAUUUUGGACAAUGGGGGCAACCCUGAUCCAGCAAUGCCGCGUGUGUGAAGAAGGCCUUCGGGUUGUAAAGCACUUUUGUCCGGAAAGAAAUCCCCUGGGAUAAUACCUCGGGGGGAUGACGGUACCGGAAGAAUAAGCACCGGCUAACUACGUGCCAGCAGCCGCGGUAAUACGUAGGGUGCGAGCGUUAAUCGGAAUUACUGGGCGUAAAGCGUGCGCAGGCGGUUUUGUAAGACAGGCGUGAAAUCCCCGAGCUCAACUUGGGAAUGGCGCUUGUGACUGCAAGGCUAGAGUAUGUCAGAGGGGGGUAGAAUUCCACGUGUAGCAGUGAAAUGCGUAGAGAUGUGGAGGAAUACCGAUGGCGAAGGCAGCCCCCUGGGACGUCACUGACGCUCAUGCACGAAAGCGUGGGGAGCAAACAGGAUUAGAUACCCCGGUAGU
RNAcentral lists this ribosomal RNA (791 nucleotides) under uncultured bacterium. RNAcentral's name for it is "bacterial SSU rRNA". It matches the Rfam family "Bacterial small subunit ribosomal RNA", at positions 8 to 794 of the family's 1533-position model. The record is from RNAcentral.